CCUACGGGUGGCAGCAGUGAGGAAUAUUGGUCAAUGGCCGCAGGGCUGAACCAGCCAAGUCGCGUGAGGGAUGACGGUCCUAUGGAUUGUAAACCUCUUUUGUCAGGGAGCAAAGGGCGCCACGUGUGGCGUUUUGCGAGUACCUGAAGAAAAAGCAUCGGCUAACUCCGUGCCAGCAGCCGCGGUAAUACGGAGGAUGCGAGCGUUAUCCGGAUUUAUUGGGUUUAAAGGGUGCGCAGGCGGAAUGUCAAGUCAGCGGUAAAAUUUCGGGGCUCAACCCCGUCGUGCCGUUGAAACUGGCAGUCUUGAGUACAGUAGAGGUGGGCGGAAUUCGUGGUGUAGCGGUGAAAUGCUUAGAUAUCACGAAGAACUCCGAUUGCGAAGGCAGCUCACUGGACUGCAACUGACACUGAUGCUCGAAAGUGUGGGUAUCAAACAGGAUUAGAUACCCCAGUAGUC
Molecule: ribosomal RNA, 459 nt
Filed under: uncultured bacterium
Lineage: Bacteria
Description: partial 16S ribosomal RNA
Rfam family: Bacterial small subunit ribosomal RNA
Source: RNAcentral